This is a non-coding RNA of Cricetulus griseus (Chinese hamster), 439 nucleotides long. NCBI's taxonomy places the organism in Eukaryota, Metazoa, Chordata, Mammalia, Rodentia, Cricetidae. The record is from RefSeq and is a predicted model, not a curated record.
CAGGAAGGGCCCCUCUUUUCCCCCCCUCCGAUCCUGCUCCAGUGGCACAAUGAAGAAGAAACCGAAUGCCGCACUGGACAUGUACACAAGACUGAAGGGCCCAGUCGCAGAGGAUGGCCGGCUGGAGAUCAUGCAAGACUGGAACUCUAACUGUCACAAGAUGCCAGGGAGGCCUCCAGAGACCUUCCGGACUCACGCUUUCUAAGUUAAAUGGGAAGCAGCUGCUGUUUUGCAGGCCCUUCUUUGUGUGGAACAGGCUAGUUUGUUCAGGAGCUUGGUGUGGGCUUCGCCUCCACAGCCCCCUCCCGGGUUAGGGACUAUUGGUACAUUCAUGAGCACGUCAGAUUCUUAAGUGGGACCGGGUGGUUAGGAGGGUUGGGAAAUCUGUUUCACCUGCUGGGAUGCUGGGGAGAACUAAAUUAAAUACACCAGCGAUGCA